Molecule: ribosomal RNA, 141 nt
Filed under: uncultured eukaryote
Lineage: Eukaryota
Description: partial 18S ribosomal RNA
Rfam family: Eukaryotic small subunit ribosomal RNA
Source: RNAcentral
UGGUGGAGUGAUUUGUCUGGUUAAUUCCGAUAACGAACGAGACCCCGUCCUACUUACUAGACCGAGGAUCCUCUCGUUCUCGCUGUCUUCUUAGAGGGACAACUGCUUAUACCUUGGACUACAUGAAAUGGGGCAAUAACA